AUAUGACACGGACCGACGGUGUCCAGUUUGGGCCCAACAUUCGGUCGCGGUGCAAUGAC
This is a non-coding RNA of Rhizobiales bacterium 64-17, 59 nucleotides long. The record is from Rfam. Lineage: Bacteria; Pseudomonadati; Pseudomonadota; Alphaproteobacteria; Hyphomicrobiales.